Molecule: long non-coding RNA, 380 nt
Organism: Melanotaenia boesemani (Boeseman's rainbowfish)
Lineage: Eukaryota; Metazoa; Chordata; Actinopteri; Atheriniformes; Melanotaeniidae
Exons: 3
Source: RefSeq, a predicted model, not a curated record
UGAGGGAAUGUGCAUCAUCAUCUAGUGCUCCCUCCAUCCUGAAUCUCACCUGUUCAGACUCUGUCAGGCUGCUGAAUGGAUCCAGUGUGUGUUCAGGCAGACUGGAGGUGAAGUCUGACCAGACCUGGUCCUCAGUGUGUGAAGCUGACUUUGACCAGCAGGAUGCAGAGGUGGUCUGCAGGGAGCUCGGCUGUGGGCCUUCUUCAGUCCUCCAGGGGGCGCUCUAUGGAGAAGGGGAGGCUCCCAUGUGGACCAAAGAGUUCCAGUGUGGAGGCCAUGAGUCUGCUCUGCUGGACUGUAGAAGCUCAGACUCUGAUAGAAACACCUGCUCACCUGGCAGAGCUGCUGGACUCACCUGCUCAGAUCCUGAUGAUGUCAGA